Molecule: ribosomal RNA, 887 nt
Filed under: Vibrio harveyi
Lineage: Bacteria; Pseudomonadati; Pseudomonadota; Gammaproteobacteria; Vibrionales; Vibrionaceae
Description: bacterial SSU rRNA
Rfam family: Bacterial small subunit ribosomal RNA
Source: RNAcentral
GAUAACGGCGUCGAGCGGCGGACGGGUGAGUAAUGCCUAGGAAAUUGCCCUGAUGUGGGGGAUAACCAUUGGAAACGAUGGCUAAUACCGCAUAAUACCUACGGGUCAAAGAGGGGGACCUUCGGGCCUCUCGCGUCAGGAUAUGCCUAGGUGGGAUUAGCUAGUUGGUGAGGUAAUGGCUCACCAAGGCGACGAUCCCUAGCUGGUCUGAGAGGAUGAUCAGCCACACUGGAACUGAGACACGGUCCAGACUCCUACGGGAGGCAGCAGUGGGGAAUAUUGCACAAUGGGCGCAAGCCUGAUGCAGCCAUGCCGCGUGUGUGAAGAAGGCCUUCGGGUUGUAAAGCACUUUCAGUCGUGAGGAAGGUAGUGUAGUUAAUAGCUGCAUUAUUUGACGUUAGCGACAGAAGAAGCACCGGCUAACUCCGUGCCAGCAGCCGCGGUAAUACGGAGGGUGCGAGCGUUAAUCGGAAUUACUGGGCGUAAAGCGCAUGCAGGUGGUUUGUUAAGUCAGAUGUGAAAGCCCGGGGCUCAACCUCGGAAUAGCAUUUGAAACUGGCAGACUAGAGUACUGUAGAGGGGGGUAGAAUUUCAGGUGUAGCGGUGAAAUGCGUAGAGAUCUGAAGGAAUACCGGUGGCGAAGGCGGCCCCCUGGACAGAUACUGACACUCAGAUGCGAAAGCGUGGGGAGCAAACAGGAUUAGAUACCCUGGUAGUCCACGCCGUAAACGAUGUCUACUUGGAGGUUGUGGCCUUGAGCCGUGGCUUUCGGAGCUAACGCGUUAAGUAGACCGCCUGGGGAGUACGGUCGCAAGAUUAAAACUCAAAUGAAUUGACGGGGGCCCGCACAAGCGGUGGAGCAUGUGGUUUAAUUCGAUGCAACGCGA